Molecule: long non-coding RNA, 3259 nt
Organism: Anolis carolinensis (green anole)
Lineage: Eukaryota; Metazoa; Chordata; Lepidosauria; Squamata; Anolidae
Source: Ensembl
CAGACUCCUCUUAAAGAGCCACACACAAUAAGUAAAGUUAGCAAAUGUUUAUUAAAUGACAAAUAGAACUCAGAAACACUUAACAUAUUUGCUUCAAGAAAAGGCACAAAACAGGAACAGAAAGAUAACCCGGAUUAUCUAGCUUGAUAAUCCAGUUCAAAUGUAACCAAAAUGUUCACUGAAACAAGCGCCACGCUAUGCUGUGGCACAGAGAGUUAGGGAAGCGCCAAACGCUCUUUAAUAAUGAGUGCAAACGAUACCGUUGUCAAAAGUCAAGCCAAGUUCAAAAGCCAAAAGGUGCCAAAAACGCCAAGCCUGGAGCAAACACUGUCCCGGAAGCAUACCGGAUUCAGUAGCCAGUGGAAGCCAGAAACGCCAAACCAGAAACGCCAAGUUGGAAUCGCCAAGCCAGCUGAUCUUGAUCUCAUAUGUGAACCUCUCCCAUCCACCCUCCAAUCACUCCAUCUUUGUUCAAGACUUAGAUCUCCCCAUGUCCCUGGUGUACCAGUAGUUUGCCAGUCUCCCGAUGCACCCUCAGAAACUGCACACACAUUUACUUGAGUCCAACUUGCAGCUUCUUCCAUCCCAUUCUCAGACCCAUCAUCCCCAGAAAAACCCUCAAACGUUUCAUCCUCCGUGGGAGCAGUAAGUAUAUCACGAAUCUUCUUUCUUUCCCUUUCCUCAUCUGACUCUUGCUCCCGAGUUGACCUCUUAGUUCCUCUACUUUCUAUUAACCCUUCAUCUUCCUCCAUUGAGUCCUCUUCACUAGAGAAGCCUUCAAAUGUCUCCUCAUCAGUAGGAACCAUAAGUAUUUCCCGAAUCCGCUUUACUUGCUGUUCCUCAUCAAGCGCCUGCUCAACAUUAUCCCUUUUCCUCCUACUAGCAAUUUUACCAGUAGUACCAGAACUACCCCUUGGCGCAACUACAACAGCUUCAUUGUCCUUUGCUACACGUUAACCAAGAGUAAUAAAUUGUAUCCGCCGUUUGCUUUCACUUCCCAGCCUGCAAAAAUAGCUUCUUUUGCAGGCUCUUUCCACAACCAAAAAAUUUACUAUAAACCCCUUUCCAAGCCACGGAUGCCUGCCGGCUUGGUCAAGGCGGUACAGAACCACCUCGAGAACAAGGAAAUGCAGUUUUUCCAACUGUGGAUAUGGAAACCCACUGGGGCCCCAUAUCCACGCCUUAAUGGAUUCACUAUGGACCAAUUCCAUUUCACUCCGGAACACUUUCUAAACUAAACUGCUAUCUUGCUUUUUGCCACAACAUCCCCAAAUCACCUCCAGUCAAAUGAAUUGGUUCCUUUUCAUGAAUGAGUUGCCUUUUUAUGAAUGAGGAUGGGCAAUGCAAUCUAAAAAGUCCUUUUGCGCUUUCUUAUAAACUCCUUAGGUAUCAGGGACCCCUUUCCCCUCUUCCUACAUGAACCCCUUGUAUCCCUUGCACUGUCUCCCAGUUCUAGGGGAACCCCAAAAGCCUUUUUGUCUGAUGGGCUGCUAGAGAACCUCUGGGAUUCCUUUCUUUGUCCCUCAUGGGAAAUACAGGGGAGAUCGAAGACCUCUGAAAGCCCAUGAGUCUACCUGCGUCUGCCUCCCAACACAUGGGGAUGCUGGAUCUUGUGUUUCUCCCCCAUUGUGAAUCCCCAUGUGUCUUCUAUCAAGUUUAUUUUAUUUUAUUUUUUAUUAUUAUACUUUAUGAUAUCUUGCCCCUUAUAAAAGAAGCACUGUGACCCUGAGGUGAACAUUUGACCAGCACACCAUCCUGACCUAAGUACCACCAGGCUGCCUCAGGCCAAAUUCUACAAACUUGGAUUACCAUGAUCAUCAUCUGGAAAUAAAGCAAUGGACUCUUUCUCAAACUUCGGAGGGUGAUGCUUGUGCUUCCAAUGGCUGAAGCGCGCGAGCCUCCAGACUGCUCCUCCUAGCUCAUGGUGUCAGGGACUCCCCUGGCCAAUCAGCAAGGAGCCCGCUGGGUGGGAAAAGUAUAAAAUGUGUCUUUUUCUGUGUAACGGUAUGCUGGUUCCUUUUGCAACUUAUUGCGAUCGUCAUCCUGCUCCAGCUGGACCAGAAUAAACUCGGUGACCUCUGCUUCAAACUUGGUGAGCCUUUUAUUGGGAAUAGGAAAAUCUUUAUUUGCUUCUCACAAACUCACUAGGUGUUGCACAACCCUCCUUCUGGGUCUAGCGCAAGUCUCCAUUUCCAGCGAGAUCCCCAAAUCUUUGAUCUCAUCAUUUGGCAACCACGAAGGGACACUAGGCUUGGGGUCCCAUUAACUUUUAGACAAAAAAGCAAGCCGCUACCUGGUCCUAAGGUUUGCCUAAAGAGCUCUUUAAAAUAAACUGGGCUCCAUUGCUGCCCACCUAGUCAUCUCACUUGUAGCUGGACCGACCUCAGAUCCUGGCACAAAGGAGCAUAGAAGCAUCUUGACUUCUUUGAUCUCUUCAUCAAUGUCUGUAAUGCCAUGUGAUGGCCACCUUUCUCAGUGUAUUUUUGGUGAGACAGGAGAGGAUUACCUUUCAAGCCUGAAAAGCUUUCAAGACAAGAUGGGAAUCACAAUUCUAGCCAAGUCUUUCUUCAUGAACCCAGGCUGACCACCUGAGAAGACAUUAUAUGACUUACCAGGAUAUGUAAGAUUUAAUAUCAAAUAAAAAUUUCUCAUCGUAUUAUUAAAUUUAGUAAAAUAGCACUAAUCUAGCAGUAACAUGGUCAAAUAUUGGAGCAAAUUCUUUAGAUAGAUGAAGCAAUUAUGCACUACCAUUUCCUUUUAUAUUUCACCCUAAAAUAUACCUUCCCAGAGAUCAAAUUAAAACUAGACUACAUUAACAUUUUUAAAGACAGGAGAAAAUGUAACUCUACAGUCCUUCCAACCACACUAUUCUUUAACAUCAUAGUAUUGGGACCUUUUUCCCACCCCUCCUUCACCUUUAUUUGAGCUUCAGAGCUAGAAAUUAAUAACAUUUCCACAGGGGUUCAUUUUUCUUGAAAUGAGAUUAUUCAGUCCAGCCAGUCAGAAGAAACAAAAGCAUUACUCAGUGUGAUUGGGUUCUUGGCAUGCCCACUGGAUCGACACACACACACACACACACACAAUAGGCAAUGGAGAGGGAAUCAUUGCCUAUAUUGUCUCCCCUAAGCUAUGCAGUGUUCAAAUCAAACAUUUAUUGUGUGUUUGCACAUGUAACAUAUCUCUGGCUUGCAAUGGUGUUCCUAGACUUCCAAUGGAGUUUGGAAUAUUGAACAUGUUUUCCAUUGUCACAAUAAUAAAC